Molecule: ribosomal RNA, 468 nt
Filed under: uncultured bacterium
Lineage: Bacteria
Description: partial 16S ribosomal RNA
Rfam family: Bacterial small subunit ribosomal RNA
Source: RNAcentral
GACGAACGCUGGCGGCGUGCUUAACACAUGCAAGUCGAACGGAAAGGCCCUGCUUUUGUGGGGUGCUCGAGUGGCUAACGGGUGAGUAACCCUUUAGUAACCUGCCCUUUACUUUGGUAUAACUUCUGGAAACUGGGGCUAAUACCGGAUAGGAGCUCCUGCUGCAUGGUGGGUGUUGGAAAGUUUCGGCGGUUGGGGAUGGACUCGCGGCUUAUCAGCUUGUUGGUGGGGUAGUGGCUUACCAAGGCUUUGACGGGUAGCCGGCCUGAGAGGGUGACCGGCCACAUUGGGACUGAGAUACGGACCAGACUCCUACGGGAGGCAGCAGUGGGGAAUAUUGCACAAUGGGCGGAAGCCUGAUGCAGCAACGCCGCGUGCGGGAUGACGGCCUUCGGGUUGUAAACCGCUUUCGCCUGUGACGAAGAGUGAGUGACGGUAAUGGGUAAAGAAGCACCGGCUAACUACGUG